UAUGAGUUUUUAUGUUGUUAUAGAAAAUGCAUUGUACACUGUAAAAAGUCAUUCUUUAGGAUUGUAGAUUUCAAUGAAUGUAUUAUGUAAACUUUAUUAAACAAAAUUAAUUUCUUGAUUUUUAAAAGAUUUUUUGAGUUAAAACCAUUCAUGACAGGAAUGACAAGAAUUAACGUAAUUUAUGUUGUUAAAGAGAGAAAAUUGAAUAAAUCCAACAUGAUUGAAAUGAGCUCUUUUUAAUUUACAAACAUUUCCUGUUACAACGCGCGGUUUAAUCAGCUCCUGAGCGGGAGACACGUGUGCUGGAGUUCCCGCUGACAACCUGGAGGCAAAGCUAAUUGUCGCUCUUUUUCAGUUGAUUUCACAAAGAAUUGCAGAAUAGAAUUUAAGAACAACAAUGAAAAGAUUGACAACACAAAAUCAUUAAUCAAUUUCCAAGUGUGCAAGACAUAAAAGAGCGAUGGCCAGCCAGAUGGUUUCAGCUUUCUCAAUGUUCUGUCGAUAUGAUGAGAGGUGGUCAUCAGCUGCAUUCUAGAAUUCCUUGGGGAACAUAAAGGAAACCUCAAAGAACUUUGCAAAGACAAUGAACAUCAGACAGAAAAUGAACAGCGCUUGUGAUGGCUGUAGUUGUGACAGGAGCUUCCAGUGACAGUCCAAAGGACAUUGGAAUUGUUAUCAAGGGGAGAAAAUUGUUACAGGCCUGCUUGCUGUGUCCUCCUUGGUUUGAUGUAUGCACUGAUUCUCCAUUAUCCCAGACUAAAAUCAAAGUAUACCUUUUAGGACCAGUGGUGGCCAAAAUUAUUAAAACAAUAGUAUUUUCACCAGCUAAAAAAUGUA
Long non-coding RNA from Labeo rohita (rohu), 837 nucleotides. RefSeq lists it as uncharacterized. The transcript is spliced from 4 exons. The record is from RefSeq and is a predicted model, not a curated record. Lineage: Eukaryota; Metazoa; Chordata; Actinopteri; Cypriniformes; Cyprinidae.